This 497-nucleotide ribosomal RNA is filed under the name uncultured bacterium. RNAcentral describes it as "partial 16S ribosomal RNA". It matches the Rfam family "Bacterial small subunit ribosomal RNA", at positions 28 to 507 of the family's 1533-position model. The record is from RNAcentral.
GAUGAACGCUGGCGGCGUGCCUAAUACAUGCAAGUAGAACGCUGAAGGAAGGAGCUUGCUCUUUCCGGAUGAGUUGCGAACGGGUGAGUAACGCGUAGGUAACCUGCCUGGUAGCGGGGGAUAACUAUUGGAAACGAUAGCUAAUACCGCAUAACAGUAGAUGUUGCAUGAUAUCUACUUAAAAGGUGCAAUUGCACCACUACCAGAUGGACCUGCGUUGUAUUAGCUAGUUGGUGAGGUAACGGCUCACCAAGGCGACGAUACAUAGCCGACCUGAGAGGGUGAUCGGCCACACUGGGACUGGGACACGGCCCAGACUCCUACGGGAGGCCGCAGGAGGGGAUCUUCGGCAAUGGACGGAAGUCUGACCGAGCAACGCCGCGUGGGUGAAGAAGGGUUUCGGAUCGUAAAGCUCUGUUGUAAGAGAAGAACGAGUGUGAGAGUGGAAAGUUCACACUGUGACGGUAGCUUACCAGAAAGGGACGGCUAACUACGUG